RNAcentral lists this ribosomal RNA (549 nucleotides) under uncultured Glomus. RNAcentral describes it as "SSU rRNA". It matches the Rfam family "Eukaryotic small subunit ribosomal RNA", at positions 550 to 1109 of the family's 1831-position model. Lineage: Eukaryota; Fungi; Glomeromycota; Glomeromycetes; Glomerales; Glomeraceae. The record is from RNAcentral.
UUGGAGGGCAAGUCUGGUGCCAGCAGCCGCGGUAAUUCCAGCUCCAAUAGCGUAUAUUAAAGUUGUUGCAGUUAAAAAGCUCGUAGUUGAAUUUCGGGAUCAGUACGCUGGUCRUGCCUUYGGUAUGCACUGGUGUCACUGGUUYCUCCCUUCUGAAGAWCCGUSAUGYCAUUAAUUUGGUGUSGCGGGGAAUCAGGACUGUUACUUUGAAAAAAUUAGAGUGUUUAAAGCAGGCUCRCGCUUGAAUACAUUAGCAUGGAAUAAUGAAAUAGGACGUUUGAYCCUAUUUUGUUGGUUUCUAGGAUCGACGUAAUGAUUAAUAGGGAUAGUUGGGGGCAUUAGUAUUCAAUUGUCAGAGGUGAAAUUCUUGGAUUUAUUGAAGACUAACUACUGCGAAAGCAUUUGCCAAGGAUGUUUUCAUUAAUCAAGAACGAAAGUUAGGGGAUCGAAGACGAUCAGAUACCGUCGUAGUCUUAACCAUAAACUAUGCCGACUAGGGAUCGGAUGAUGUUAAUUUUWUAAUGACUCAUUCGGCGCCUUACGGGAAAC